Molecule: non-coding RNA, 496 nt
Organism: Python bivittatus (Burmese python)
Lineage: Eukaryota; Metazoa; Chordata; Lepidosauria; Squamata; Pythonidae
Source: RefSeq, a predicted model, not a curated record
CCCCUGCUUCUUAUCGCCCCUUCAGAAUACCCCAGACGGGGACUUCAUAUUGGAUCGGCACCCACAUUUUGAGAACAUUGUAAUUGGAGCCGGGUUUUCAGGCCACGGGUUCAAGUUUGCACCGGUUGUGGGAAAGAUCCUGUGCGAACUGAGUCUGGGGGAGGCGCCUGCUUACAAUCUCGCCCCAUUUCGGCUGAGCCGCUUCCAGGCCCCACUUAAAGCUAGCUUGUGAACUCCCUCUGGCAGAGCCGAGGAGGGGCCAAACCUUCCCCAGGGCACCUCCACGACAGUCCACCUGAACUGGAUCCAUGGCUUGAGCUCUGCACGUCCAGGCUGCAAAGAUCCUGACAGCUGCCAGGAGAGGGAAGAGCUUCUGCUGGCCCCCAGGGAAGGGCUCCCUUGCGGUUGAGGAAGUGAAAAGCCCUGCCCAAGAGUGCUGUGCCAGGAGAGGGUCCCACACAGGUGCGCUUCCUAUUAAAGGUAUCUGCUAAACAGG